UGCCUGAGUGGGAGGAGCUCCAGAGAUAAUGAAGCACAGCCGACUCACCUGUGAAACCCUCUGAGAACAAUGGAACUGAGCUGGCUGUGAGGAUGUGGAUCUCUUAUCUCCUUAAAGCAGAGUGACCGGCGUACCUGCUGAAACUGCGGGGAGCUGAGCGUGUUCUGGAGCUCCUCUGAGCUCUGAGGCAGAGACUCUCCUGACGGCAGGUAGGGCAUCAACCUCUGCUGCACCUCAGGGUUCACCAGGAUGGGAGCCAUGACCUCAGGAGUCAGGACGCUGGCCAGGUCCACUGCAGGAGAAAAACAUUACACCUGACAGGAGUAAGACACCUUGUGGAGGAGUUACUGGCUGCAGGAACGCUGCUGCUGCUGCUGCUACUGCUGCUGCCCAGGAGGUUGGCCAAGCCUGGACCAGCCAGCGCCCCAAGACCACCUGUCAUCCAGAAAAACACACCCUGCAUUAUUCUCCUGUGAGCAUGACUCUUCUUUUUGCAAAUAUACUCUUUACUUUUCUCUUAUUUCUCUGUUUCUGGAGGACUGAGUUCAGAAGUUGCAUACCUAUCCCGCCAAGCCCGGUCGGUCCAAUUAGCUGCAUGAGCUGGUUAUGGCUCAUGUUACCCAGAAGGCUCUGCAGACCUCCCUCUCCUUCACAAGAAAAAAGUGUGACACAUCAAACUUUAGGAUUCAGGUUCUUCAACAAAAUAAUAAAAAACUCAAAGGAGGAUGAUCUGUUACCUCCCAGAGCAGACAGAUCGUGUCCUCCACUGCCGCCACUACUGAGAGCUCCGGGCAUGGGCGGGUUGUUGAGGUACUCGUUCACUUUACGGCAGACCUCCUCGUCUUUGUCAGUCUUUGGCUCCUGUGAACAAAAACACAAGAUUGUCAGAGGUUGUAUGUAACUCUUGGUUGAGAAAAUUACAUUGAGUAGAUUUAGGGUUAAUAUUAAUAACACUUUCUAUGAUAAACGUGGGCUCAUCCCUGUGAGAUAGAUUUGAAUGAGGCAACAAUAGUUGAAUGUUUAGUGUAUGGUGUUCUCCCACUUGGAUAGAAAAAAGUCAAACUCCAGCCACACAGGGAUACAAUAGAUUUUUUGGGGACCAGUUUAAGCUGUGGAUUAAUACACAUUUAGUGCUCUUGUGGUAAAAAGAAGAGGCAUGGUGUGUGUUGGGCAGUUAAAUUAAAUUACAUCACCCUGGCUCAUUAGUGUGAUUUUAAUGUGAUUUUAAUCUGCCAUCAGUGUUUGUGAUUCCACCAAGGGAAAAUUAAUCUUAUGGAACCUGAAGAAGGAGGCAGAGAUUAUCCAGCUUCAUACCUGCAUCCAGAAGAACAGUCUUUUGGAGCCUGCCUUGAACUUCAGCACAUAGACCCGCCCGGUGGUGCACUGGUUCACCCGUUUGAACUCGCAGUCAUCAGGAAAGAUAAUCAGGUCCUAAAUCAGAACACGUUAAACAGUUAGAGUCAAGUACUGGUGGAGUUGAAGCCACAUGCUGACAUUUAGAGCCGCCUACAUCAUCCACGUUCCCAGUGGUCCGAUCCUUCCAGCAGAAGUGGAUGAGGGAGUCGUCGGUCUGCUGGAUGUAGACCUGGCCCUUGCGCUUGUCGGGGGUCACCGUGCUGCCCUUCAUGGUCAUCUUGCCAGCGCGAAACUCCACCAGAUACUUACUGGAGGAGCCGCGAGACCCAGACACCAUGCUGGGGAAGAGAGCUCCGGAGGCCAUGAUGAGUGGGACAGAACAGACUGCUGCAGAGAGGGAGAGGAGGAAGGUCAGUAAUACACCCAAACACAGGCUGUCUGACUCGUUUGUGAGACCACAGAGGAAACAGACUUGAGGAUCCUCCUUUUUUUUUUUUAUUGUAUUGAUUCUCAAAAGCACUAUCAGUAUAAAUGAACAGCUAACAUCAUAAUAUUUUAACAUCUGACUGAUUUAUUUGGAUAUUAAUGCAUUUGCUUUAUGAAGUUGGAAGUAACAAUUUGUCCUUUACAAACAGGUGAUGAAAAUACAUGUGAAUUGAAAAAAGUUCUAAAUUAAGCCGAUAUGAUCAAAACAGUUGUCAUUGGACGAUAUCAGA
Molecule: long non-coding RNA, 2072 nt
Organism: Notolabrus celidotus (New Zealand spotty)
Lineage: Eukaryota; Metazoa; Chordata; Actinopteri; Labriformes; Labridae
Exons: 3
Source: RefSeq, a predicted model, not a curated record